GACAGAAACCUACGCUUUGGCAGCUGCCUACAAUGAUGGGUUACCAAGGUCAAUCCAAGGGCUAUCACAAAUGUAGAAAAGCUGACUUCCUACGAGAAGAAAACAAAACAGAAGGAAGGAAAAAGAGAGAGAAAGAGAGAAAGAGAAAGACAGAAAGAGAGAGAGAGAGAAAGCAAGAGAGAAAGAGAGAGAGAGAGAAAGCGAGAGAGGCAGAAAGAAAAAAGAAAGAAAGAAAGAGAGAGAGGGAGAGAGAGAGGGAGAAAGAAAGAAAAAAGAAAGAGAGAGAGAGGGAAAGAAAGAAAGAAAGAAAGAAAAAGAAAGAAAGAAAGAAAGAAAGAAAGAAAGAAAGAAAGAAAAAGAGAAAGAAAGAAAAAGUAAGCAUGUAUUGUUUUAGAACUCUGUCUUGGCUUGUCGCAGGAAUAUUUCUGUGCAAUAAAGUUGUAACAUUAGUUACUUCAACAACAAGCCUCCCACCCACACAGCCCUGCCAUUCAAAUGUUUUGCUCGUUUUUCUUGUUCCUUUAUUAUGAUCCGUUUCUUAGUCAAGUCUCAGUUUGACUAAACCAUUGCCAUAGGCUACCGGUUGGUCAACCUUCAUCCCAUUUAACACAGCAAUGAAAUGACCCUGAACACUCCUGUUGCUUCCACUACUCUCACAGGCUCAACCAGCUAAUCUAGUUAAUCAGCUGUGUCUGAAAUUGUGGGGCCCUUUAGGAUCUCAAAUUCUUUUUCUUUAGUCCUUCCUUUUAUAACGAAAGUAAUACUUGCGAUACGUUCUUAACUUAGCCUCCAAUCCAUUCAGACACAGAUUAAAAAAUAUGGGGUUUUUUUCUUCUUCACAUUUACAUUUGGAGGAGGCACAUUCCAGUAACUUGUAAGGAAAUGCAAAACCAGAACUGUAAAUAAAAAUAAAAAUAAUGAUAACUGACACUAACAUGUUGCUUACCAUAUGCCAAAACUCAGUUCUGAGAAUCUUGCCCAGAUCGACUCAUCUAAUCCUCAUCACAAUUCGGUGAGGUGGGUGCUAUAAUUUACCCCCAUUUUAUAGACCAGAACCUUAAAGCAACAGAAGAGUUCAUUGUUUUGCCCAAGGUCACACAGCAGGUAAGUGGCAUAGUCAGAACUGAAAUCCGGGCAACUUGAUUCCAGAUCUCCACUCUUAACUCCUAUUGCUCCACUGAAAGUAACACAGGAGCAUUGCUUAGGAAGGUUCUAUUGCAGUUGGCACAUUUGUAAAAUCUGAUCCAGGUGAAAACUCUAAAGACGAAAGAGUUAUGGAAAAAAUGGCAAAUGGAGUUGAGGAGUGAUUUCCCAAAAUCCAUCAUUAAAUUCUGAGAACCUGAGUCCUGGUAUCAAAUUUUCUACAUCUAAAGCUUCAUAUGACCAAAUACAUUUCCUCUCCAAGAAGCAUCAGGCCCCAGUUCCUCAUCCAUGUAAUGAAAUAACACUACCGUGCCUUGCAGGGUUGUUGUGAGGAUUAAGAAAGUGUAUGCAAAGCCCCGGCAGAGAGGCUGGGAUAUGGGAGAUGAUCAAUAAGUGGUAACUACUAUUUAUAACCAUCGUUGGAUUUUUUCCCGGCCUUCCUCACUAUCAGAUCUAUCUUGCACUCAGGUGUCUACUCCCACUUCAGACAGCAAAUAAGUGUUCCCACUCACCCAUCAGAACAAACCACAAUGCUAUGAACUGAUGUUUUGAACAGAACUCCAAUUGGGAAAUAGCAAAUACAUCAGCUAGUACUCCCCGGACUUAAUAAUCAGCUUUCAAAGGAAGCACUUACAUGUGAUGGUGAAAGUUGUUUUAGGAAGAUCUGUGAGAGCAGAUACAAAGAUGGAAACGUGGAUAGGCACGUUGACUGAAAGAAGAAAGUUACAGCGGGUAGUUCUAAUUAGGUAAGGCACCUCCAAAUGCAUUAUGAUUCGGCAACCUAACUCCGUGUGUUUGGGGAACCAAUCAGAGCAUAUUUCUCCUGUGUAUUCCUCUCAGACUGAUCCUCUCUGUUUCUCUGCCCCUUCAGAGAAGGCGAGCAGGCAGUCAAAACAUGUAAAGGAGUGUUGGUUCUCAGAUUUGCAUAGAAAAAGUCACAAGCUAGGCUAACUGAACGUGUUUCCAAGUGUUUGUCCUACUGCUCUGGCCACGGAUUCCCCAUCCUGCUUCUGAAAUGGAGGUGGAGUCCUGCUUUCAGUGGUAACAGAGGUCACUGGGUUCCAGGAGCAAUCCAAGAGGAUGUUGCUCAUAUCAUGAUCUGGAAAACGUAAAGUUAAUUACAGUGCAAUUGGUGAAGGGUUACACCUAACUUAAUUCUUACAUCCUGAUUUCUGUCUACUGCUACCAUUUCCCACACUGAGAGAGAGGAAAGUUUCACUUAAGUAGUUGUGACCAACAUAGAUUUAAUGGGCAGGGCACACACAUGUGUGUUUUUGUCUUUAUUUGCGUAUUUGUGUGUCUGAAUUUGUAAGUAUCUAUAUAUGCAUGUGUCCAAAUAUAUGCAUGUACAUCUGUGCAUGUCUGCGUGUGUCUGAGGGUGUGUCUGUCCAUAUGCAUAUGUCUGUGCAUUUCUGUGUAUCUCUUUGUAAGUUGUGUCUGUAUGUCUUUGUGUAUGUCUGCACAAUGUGGCUCUGUAUGUGUCUGUUUGUGUGCUCUGUAUGCUUGUGCAUCUGUGUGUGUGUGUCUGUAUGUGCAUGCAUAUCUAUGGCAGCAUGCGCAGGAGUUAUGCAGAAAUAAACACAAAUGCAUUCUAGAGCACAAGGUUUCUGUUUGAGGGAUAAGCCUGUAGUACACAUGUGAACUCUGUAUAGACACAAAUGUGGCCUGAGAAAUGUAGGAAAAAAGGAGAAUGAAGAACGGAUGAGCCAUAACUGAGACAGCCAAGGACCCGUUCUUGAUGCUUUUGUGUCUAUGCGUGAUCCCUGCUACUCCCAGCCACACCGAACAAACCACUUUCUUGCACACUUUUGAAAUGAUAUAGGAGAACAUGUCACUGGGGCUUCAGGAGUUCCCACCUCAGAAAGGCAAUAUUCAAGGAGGAUGGGAGUAAAGCUUUCUCUCUCUCUCCUAUAAUGCAUAAUAUAUCAUGGCCCCCAAGCCCAAGAAAUGAACGGUAAUCAUUAAUUUACUAUGUGAUUUCUCUGGCUUUUUUUCUAAAGUUGGCAUUACUUUCUUAAUCAAGCAAGCAUUUUCUAAUGUAAACGAUACAAAUGGGAUAUGAGAUCAGAAAUACCAAACACGUGAAAGCUGCACACAUCCUAAACUUGACCAGAUAAAUAUUCUGCUGGAAAUCUUUGCAAAAGUAUAACACUAUUAAAUGAAGGGUCAAGGAACAUGCACGAGACUAAUGCCAAGUAUUGAUUUGACAGAAUGAAACCUUGCGGAGCUGUUAACUUAAGUGUAAUUUUCGUCAAGAGCAACAAUUAUUCUGUGCAACAGAGAUCUUCUGAGCUAUUAACAAAGCUACUGGAGAAAUGUCAACAGUGGUCAGCUGCCAGUUACUUUUACAAAUAAGAUUUUACUUGACACGAUAAGCCUGAAGAUACUUAAGACAACUGCUGGCUUCUCAGAAGAGGGAGACACUGGGAUGCAAAUACUGAAAUAAGGCGCUGAGUUGAGAGACCUCCAAUCCUGAAGCUUUGGAAAAACUUGGAAUGGCUUAAUUAGCCACUGAUUAACCUUUGGUUAGAAAUAUCAUCUUAAAAAAUAUUUGAAUUUACUGGCUUGAUGAAAACUUUUGCACACUGAUUUUCGUCUCUUAUUGCAGAACUAAUACCCAGAUGGUUUCUCCAGAUAUUUUUCUUCUAAAAUGUCCACUGAUUGUUAUGUUCAGGAUAAUUCUGCAAGAGAGCAGAAUCCUAAACAGUUCAAAUCCCCAUCCCAACCCUACACUUGUAUUGACAAUUACUUUAGGGGGCCAGCCCCAUGGCCCAGUGGUUAAGUUCAUGAGCUCUGCUGUGGUGGCCCAGGGUUUCGCCGGUUCGAAUCCUGGGUGCGGACAUGGCACUGCUCGUCAGGCCGCGUUGAGGCGGCGUCCCACAUGCCACAACUAGAAGGACCUGCAACUAAGAUAUACAACUAUGUACUGGGGGGAUUUGGGGGGAUAAAGCAGGAAAAAAAAAAUGGGAAAAAAAAAGAAAAUUAUUUUAGAGUGGUGUGAAGAGAGGAUGAGGGAAAAGGAAACAGGUGAUUUGAAAGAUAACUUUGGAAAAGUUUGUAAGCCUGAAUGACUACGUGUGGGAGGGGAGGGGGGUGUUGUUACACUGGACAUAGAUAUCAGAGCACAAUUUACAACACCCUGGGCUGAUAAUCUGAAGGCCUGAAUUCUAAUCUUUACCCUUCACUGAUUUCCUGAUUGACCUCAGGCAAGUCACUUCAAGCCACGGCAUGGUGGUUACCAGGGCCUCUCUCUGCUCAGCCGUGUUGACUUGAAUCCUUUCUCCACCACGUAAUAGCUGUGUAACUUUGGGCAAGUUGCCUAACCUUCUCACACCUCUAUAUUCUCAUCUGUAAAACGUGGAUAAUAAUAGCUUCUGGUUCAUAGGCCUGUGAUGAGGGGCAAAGGAGAUAACAGUGUAAAACGUUGUUUGGGCCAUCCAUAAAUAAGUCCUCCAUAAAUACUAGCUAUUGUCAUUACCUCUGAGUCACAGUUUCCUCAUGUAGAACAGGAGAGGGUCGGAGUAGAUGACCUAAUGAAUUCUUUCAGCCAGCCUUCAGGAAAACCAUCAUACAGAAUGCAGCUAAUAACCCAACCUCUCAAAAUCUCUGUAGCCACAAGGAGCCCUCCCCAGAUCUUAUUUACCACACCUCACCCAUCAUGCUGCCUGUUGGUCACACAGGCCUUACUGAUUCCUAUUUUACACGCAGUUCUAACGACCACGUUGAUCUGAUAUCUCAGACUACAGAAGCCCAAAUUAGUAAGAAGAAUGUUGAAAGAAAAACACCUUGUAAGCAAGGGUGGUUGCAAGCAGUCUGAUGUUAAGAGAGGAAACAAUUGCGAUCACAGAAGGAAGUACGUGCGCCACCAUGACUCAAGUCAUUAAACAUUUUUGAACCACAUUCAGUAAAAUGCUCAAGGCAGCUACCAAUUUUAGAGCUGUUUCUAUCAAAAUGAUUAGCAUUUGAUAGGUGUGGGAAUUAUUAGUUUCGGGAUAAUUCUUCUUAUGGUCAGAAUGUGCCUGGUUAUUGGUUAAGCCCCAGAUUUGCUGGCCCUCUUUCUUCUCUCCUGGUUCAGCAUCUCUAGCAUCAGGAUGCAGGUGGUAGGCCAGUCCAGAACUGUCUUGUCUCCCAGUGGGGCGGUGGAUAUAGGGUGAGAGGGAGUAUUGGGCCAGUUACUCAGCACCGGCAAUGACAAAGCCAUCCUGCCUAAGCCUGCCUUCAAGCUCCUGCCACAUUUGCUUUCAUAUCUUAACAAAGUGACUCCUUCCCUUGGCUCUCCCAUGCCCUGACUCCUUUUCCGACCUAGAAGGUAACAGGUUCAGGAAUUAGGACUCAUGCUGACCUCAAAUAAGGUUUAAAUCCUGCCUCUGCCACUUGCCAGCUAUGCGACUUUGGUCAAACAUUUUCACUUUUCUGCACGUCUUUGUUGCAGCCGUAAAAUGUGAACAAUGAUGCCUUACUUCCCAGGGCUGUUGAAGAGAGGAAGGGAGACCGCGGAGGGAAAGCAUGGUGCCUGGUACAGAAGGAGUUCAAGAUGUAUUAGCUGUUCCUGAUGCCCAUUUUAAUUGCAUCUAGGAUUUUAAUGCCAGCCCUGGUGGUCUAGUGGUUAAGAUUCAGAGCCAUGGCCCAGGUCUGUUUCCCAGUCAGGGAACCAUACCGCCUGUCUGUCGGUUGUCACACUGUGGUGACUGCAUGUUGCUGGGAUGUUGAAAGCUCUGCCACCAUGAUUUCACAAACACUAUCAGGGUCACUCAUGGUGGACAGGUUUCAAUGGAGCUUCCAGACUAGACAGACUAGGAAGAAGGACCUGGCCAACUUCCUAAAACAUUGGCCAUGAAAACCCUAUGAGUAGCAACAGAGCAUUGUCUGAUAGAGCAACAGAAGGUGAGAGGACGGUAUAAAAAGACCAAGCAGGGUUCAGCUCUGUGGUCCACAGGGUCACUAGGAGUUGGAAUCCACUUGACAGCAUUAACAACAACAACAAAGUUAUAGUCACAAGCUUGUUUAUGUAACUCAAAUCAAAAAUCUUUGUAUUGCCUUGUAUUAUAUGACCUAGAUCUGUUAAAAGAAAAAACUAGGGUAAUGUUUUAAAGGGACAAUGCCCAAAUUGGCUACUCUCAGCUUUUAUUUUCACCUUAUGGUGGCAUAGAAUGAAGUCCAUCCUUCUUAGGAAUCCACGCGUUCCAGAAAUGGAAAUUACCUCUUCCAUGGAAUCAGAAGGAUUGGCCAUUCAUACCUAUGGAUGCCUCUUUGACUCAGUUUACUUGCAAAAUAUCACCCGACUCAGUUUCAUCAAGUGAUAGUGAAAACUUUGUCUAGCUGGGAUGUGCUCUCCUUUUGAAAAGGUGCUACCAACCACAGAGAUCCUAGGGGCCCAUGGAAUGAAUGUGUUUCCUGAUGCCUGUCUCAGAGCCUAUGCUAGUGCAGAUAAGGCAUUUUCUUUUUCACUGCUCAGAACUCAUUCAUCAGGAUUAGAAGUUUUUGGCACAUCUUGAAUGUUACAUAAUCAUAUGACAGUACAGAGGCUUUUAGCUUCUUGUCACUGUUCAUGCUAAGCCAUCCUCAAUGUUAUAAUAUCAUUGAUAUCUCCAAGAGAUAACUCAAAGGUGUCUACUGGCUAUAUAAUUUGUCAGGCAUUAAUAGAGACUGGAGCUAUCAGGAAACAUACAGUAUUUUUUGUAAUCUUUUCCUGAUAGUGGUUUUGAUAAGAUUUAAACGCAGCCUCAGAUUUAACUUCCUUAAAUACUCAUGCUUGUUUGUUUGUUCGUUUGAAAAGCGUGACUUAAAAUGCCAGAUGUGCUAACCUUCUGUAACUAUAUGCCAAAGACUUGCUAAGCUUUCUGACUUCAUGGUCAGCUUUUAAUGUUUGCUUUCUCUUGUUCGAAAAAGUUUCUGUUUUCCAUGUAUUAGUCCUUGAUCCCAGUAAAUGUCACAAGAGCUAAGCUCAAGGAAAUUCUCAGGAAAGUCCCAAGAAAAGUCUGAGGGUGUGCCUCCAUUAACAGAUAAAACCUUUCCAAAGAUCCUCAGUAAGUUGCUUUUUGCAAACCUUAGCGAUUUAACAGAAAAUAAUACACGACUUCUGCAUUAAACUUUGGUACUGAAAUGCAAUAGACCUCUGCCAGAGCCUGAAGGUUUUCUCAAACUGUGAUUAGGAAAAUGAACAAAAGUGAUCAAUUUGACCAACUUAAUCAGGGCAGCGGAAUUUCAGAAAUCAUUCACUGAAUUAAUCAUCUAAUUUUUAAACUAAACCAAUAAAAUAAUUCCCAAAAACCCCACAACUUUACAGACUUACAUUGAUAUUUCAAUGCUCUCCAACACCCGGCCCACUUGACCUUCACAGGAUUUUCAAUGUGACAUUAUUGCAUACACCAUCUAUUCCAGCCAACCUGCUCUACUGACUGCCAGGCACAUCUUCACCUUCCCUUCUCGUUGCCUUGCUCUGUCCUGUGCCCUGGCCUGAGGUGCUUUCGUUUUUCCCUCUGUUCAUCUCCUAAGCUAUAUCUAAGUCAUGCUCCGUCCAUGAAGUUUUUGAAAAUGACUUCCUCUUUGGACCCUGAUAGUACUGAUCAUCCAUUCCACACGUUGUAAGACCUCUUGGACUAUGGCUAUCACUUUGUAUUGCCACUACUAUUCUUUAAUUGACUAGGCAUUUCUAUUUUAUAUGCCUCGGUAUAGAUUUUCAGCGCCCAGAGAUGUUGUAUAUUUGUAUUUAUGGCUGUCCAGUGCCUUACAAAAUGCCUUGCCUGUUGCCGAUGUCAAUUAUACUAGCUAAUCUAAAUAGUUUAACCAAUCUAGUGACAUCAUUUAAUCUGAUUACAAAGAUAGAGCAAGGGACUGUUAGGGAAUGGCUGUAAAACUUGUAAUCAUAUUGUUGGCCCAGACACCUGAAAUAGAUUUCCAGAUCUGCCACCUGUCUUGAACAAGUCAUUUCAUCUCUCUUACCUUCAAAUUUUCCAAUCUGUAAAAGUGAAAGAAUAAUAAUGACUCUCGGGGCCGGCCUGGUGGUGCAGCGGUUAAGUGCGCACAUUUCGCUUCAGCGGCCUGGAGUUCACCAGUUCAGAUCCCCGGUGUGAACAUGGCACUGCUCAUCAAGCCCCGCUCAUCAAGCAAUGCUGUGACAGGCAUCCCACAUAUAAAGUAGAGGAAGAUGGGCACAGAUGUUAGGUCAGGGCCAGUCUUCCUCAGCAAAAAAGAGGAGGAUUGGCAGCAGAUGUUAGCUCAGGGCUGAUCUUCCUCAAAAAUAAUAAUUAAUAAUAAUAAUAAUAACGACUUUCUUUCCUAUUUCACUAGAUUACUGUGAGAUUCAAAGGAUGCAGUGUCUUUGAAAAUGUUUGCACAAAGUUAAGUACCUUACAAAUAAGAAUGUCCACUGUUAGGCAAAAGAAACACUACUUUUAGAAAUCCCAUACCAAAUAUAGCAAAGGGCUCCUAAAAUGAUCAAGACUGGUGUUAGUUUUAAGGUAUAUUGCGAUCAAUUUCAAAUAGUGCUCUAGGUCAGAUUGUUCAUCUCACUUUACAGAUGAAAGGAUGAAACUAAUGACUGAGUAAAAUUAAUGACAGCACUAAAAUGAUAUGCCUUCAUUGUUCUAGCUAUUAGCUUUGAGCCUAAGGAGCACUAUUACUUCUUUCUAAAUUUUUCUUCAAGUACCACUGAAGUUCUGAUUCUUAGGGAUUAAGAAAAAGCAACACGUUGAAAAUGUCAGUCUCUCCUCCCUGUAGUUGCUGGGCACCCUACAUUAGCAUAAAUAGCAUCUGUGCAUCCAUAAUUUGGUUCCAUGUCUCUUUAAAUUCUUCCUGUAUUCUUCUAGUAGUCCGCAUAAAUUUCACUCAAUCAUUAGCUUCAACCUUUCAUCUGCUCUGGUCAGUCCUUAAUCUACAUUCCUCCUCAAUGUAUUUAUUAAAUGAACAAUGUAUCAUUUUCACCUUUUGGAGUAUUGUAGAUAAGUACUGUGAGGUUGAAGCAUGGGCAUAUAGUGUCUUCCACAUCAACUUUGAACUCCUUUGGGUGAGUCAGCACUGCUCUUCUUAAAUCCUUAAGUACCCUUGACCUCGUACAUUCACUAGAGUCAAAUGAUGCUCAUUAAAGGCCGUUUAGGAUGUGCCAUCAUCCCUUCCAGUGUUCACAUCCCAAGUUCCUGUGAAUCAUGGUUCAUCGUGAAUCUUUCUCCCUUCAAAUAACACUGACUGAAUGUUCAUCAUAUUCCCAUGUAGCAAGAAGCCAGAAUGUUUAUUGACAGGAAGAAGGAGUAGAAUGUGCCCUACUGGGAGCCAAUCAGGACUUUAAGACCAAAGAUGUGCUUUCUUUCCAACCUAGGGCUCCUUCUUUGAUGUUGGACAAGUCAUUUUCAACACUUUAGUUAUUUUUGCGUUAGAGGAAGGACUUGUAAGAUUUCUACUAGCUCUACACAAGGGUAUAUUACAAAAAGAAUAACCACCAAAACAAAUGACUGAUCUGCCAGGUCAUCUACGAGAGGAUAAAAAGGAUAUCCAAAUAGGAUCAAAAGAAUAGAGCUAGAGCACCAAAUAUUUUAGUUUUACAUUCAUACAGCCUGUGCCCUUAGCGUGAAUUUUCUGAGGUCAUAUCCUUCCAAUGCUUCCUACCUAGAAGAAAUUUGAACGGCAUUCACCCAACUGGCAUAGUCUUCCAGAAGGAGGAAGGACCGAAAAUCAAAUAGAAAACAAAUAUUCAAGCAAGCAUGAAGCCUUUCCAAGAACGUAUACCAUAUCAAUCUCCAUUGUCCUCUUUGUUUAUUUUUGGAUUAAAAUUCAUAUUUAAUUAAUUUUUUAAAACUAUUCUAUACAAAAUGUCUGGUAACUGAGCUAACCAUAGAUAUGGGAAAAAGGUAAUAAGCAGAUAAGACAGUCAACCGAGAAAGAAAAAUCUGUAAAGUUAACUCCAUUUUCUUUUGAUUUUAUGCAGACAGUCACUGCCCUAGUCACAAUAUCAGAUUGUGGGAUUUGUAUUCCAAAUGUUCUUUUGUUCCAAAUAGCUAUCUACAUUAACAUCAGAAUUAUCACUGCCACAAAGAGAUUUUUUUAUCUUGCUUUAGUAAUAAUUUUUCAGUAAUAAUGCAGCUGGUAAAAAUGUGUGUGUGUGUAUAUAUAUAUAUAUGAGCAUAAAUAUAAUUUGGGGAAAGAACUAUUAAAGAUACAUUUUUUUAAUUACAAGCUGAAGUAGUUACAAAUUCUAAAAAUUUCUAGAACCUUACCAGUCCUAAAUUACUUUGAGCUCCCUUAUUUUCAUAUAUUUAUAUGUAACAAUGUCAUUAUCUUUUCAUUUUUAAUCUACAUAAUAUUCACUUAUUCUGUAAUAUCGUAGUUAACU
Long non-coding RNA from Equus caballus (horse), 10468 nucleotides. Lineage: Eukaryota; Metazoa; Chordata; Mammalia; Perissodactyla; Equidae. The record is from Ensembl.